Molecule: ribosomal RNA, 253 nt
Filed under: uncultured bacterium
Lineage: Bacteria
Description: partial 16S ribosomal RNA
Rfam family: Bacterial small subunit ribosomal RNA
Source: RNAcentral
GACGUAGGAGGCGAGCGUUGUCCGGAUUUACUGGGCGUAAAGGACGCGUAGGCGGCCUUGUCAGUCAGGCGUGAAAGCCCCGGGCUCAACCUGGGAACGGCGCUUGGGACGGCGAGGCUGGAGUUCGGGAGAGGAGAGUGGAAUUCCCAGUGUAGAGGUGAAAUUCGUAGAUAUUGGGAAGAACACCGGUGGCGAAGGCGGCUCUCUGGACCGACACUGACGCUGAGGCGCGAAAGCGUGGGGAGCAAACAGG